AGUGAACGCUGGCGGUAGGCCUAACACAUGCAAGUCGAACGGCAGCACAGUAAGAGCUUGCUCUUACGGGUGGCGAGUGGCGGACGGGUGAGGAAUACAUCGGAAUCUACUUUUUCGUGAGGGAUGACGUAGGGAAACUUACGCUAAUACCGCAUACGGCCUACGGGUGAAAGCAGGGGAUCUUCGGACCUUGCGCGAUUGAAUGAGCCGAUGUCGGAUUAGCUAGUUGGCGGGGUAAAGGCCCACCAAGGCGACGAUCCGUAGCUGGUCUGAGAGGAUGAUCAGCCACAGUGGAACUGAGACACGGUCCAGACUCCUACGGGAGGCAGCAGUGGGGAAUAUUGGACAAUGGGCGAAAGCCUGAUCCAGCCAUACCGCGUGGGUGAAGAAGGCCUUCGGGUUGUAAAGCCAUUUUGUUGGGAAAGACAAGCAGCAGGUUAAUACCCCGCUGUUCUGACGGUACCCAAAGAAUAAGCACCGGCUAACUUCGUG
This 492-nucleotide ribosomal RNA is filed under the name uncultured bacterium. RNAcentral's name for it is "partial 16S ribosomal RNA". It matches the Rfam family "Bacterial small subunit ribosomal RNA", at positions 29 to 507 of the family's 1533-position model. The record is from RNAcentral.